GCAUAAUCUCUACGGAGAAAAGCAGGGGUUCGCAAGACCUUGCGCUCUUGGAGCGGCCGAUGUCUGAUUAGCUAGUUGGUGAGGUAAAGGCUUACCAAGGCGACGAUCAGUAGCUGGUCUGAGAGGACGACCAGCCACACUGGGACUGAGACACGGCCCAGACUCCUACGGGAGGCAGCAGUGGGGAAUUUUGGACAAUGGGGGAAACCCUGAUCCAGCCAUGCCGCGUGAGUGAAGAAGGCCUUCGGGCUGUAAAGCUCUUUCAGCCGGAACGAAACGGUCACGGCCAAUACCUGUGAUCACUGACGGUACCG
Molecule: ribosomal RNA, 314 nt
Filed under: uncultured beta proteobacterium
Lineage: Bacteria; Pseudomonadati; Pseudomonadota; Betaproteobacteria
Description: bacterial SSU rRNA
Rfam family: Bacterial small subunit ribosomal RNA
Source: RNAcentral